This 225-nucleotide long non-coding RNA is filed under the name Capsicum annuum. Its description in RNAcentral is "long non-coding RNA (CANN_LNC013781)". The record is from RNAcentral. Lineage: Eukaryota; Viridiplantae; Streptophyta; Magnoliopsida; Solanales; Solanaceae.
GAUACUAUACUUACAUUAUUGGCUCCACUACUUAACCAUGCUUCUUUUAUUCUCUCUUUUUCUCCUUUAUUACUUAUUCAGAUUGGGUGUGGUUUCCUUUAUUCUUUGAAUUUAUUCACCUUUUUUUUAUCAUUAUCUUAUUUUUUUGUUUCUUUAUUUUUCAUAAUUUUUUACCACACCCAACCCUACUUUCUUUUCUAUUAUGCAACACCCUUUAUCAUACCC